This 30-nucleotide non-coding RNA is filed under the name Mus musculus (house mouse). The record is from RNAcentral. Lineage: Eukaryota; Metazoa; Chordata; Mammalia; Rodentia; Muridae.
UGGGAUAGAGUCUACCUUAAUCGUUGUCCU